Molecule: long non-coding RNA, 1704 nt
Organism: Piliocolobus tephrosceles (Ugandan red Colobus)
Lineage: Eukaryota; Metazoa; Chordata; Mammalia; Primates; Cercopithecidae
Source: Ensembl
AUUAUCUCAGUAUUCACCAUUUUUUUUUUUUAUUAUUUUUUAUUUUUUUAUAGGCCAUAUUUCAAUAUUAGAUUAAAAGCAGAAGUUAUAUUUUUAAACUCGUUAGCACUUAUGUGUGCAGGAGGACUAAUUUUUUUGUUUAUUUAUGUAAAAAAGAAAAAAAAAAAAAAAAAAAUAAAAUAAAUAAUCAAAUAUAUAUAACUUAAAAUGAUCAAUAUAUACAAAUACAAAAAUAAAUGGAUAUGUUUUUGAUAAAAAUAAAAUAAGCAUAAAAAUAUAUGUGUAUAUAUGCAUAGAAUAGACAGGAAAUUAUUACCUAAAAAUAUUAUAAAAUAUUUACUCAAUAGAUAUCAUAUGGACUCGUGCGAACAAAACAUAAACCAGAUUACUCCUUAUUAUAAAUUAUUAAAACAACAAUCACUUUACCCUUCAAAAAUAAAUUAUUUCCUUUAUAAAACCACAUUCCCGAAUAAACACGAACAAUUAUUCCUAUUUUGGGGCAAUGGACCAGCUAUACUAAAUUUUAUUUUUCAAACACUAUGUUUUUGUUUCUUAAUCAUAUUGUCUUGCUGGAUGUUUUUAUUAAAAGUAGAUAAUAUAACAUGGUUACAAUUAUAUAAAUACGGUAGUUUAAUUAUAUGUGGAUGUAUAUUAUUUUUUACAUUUAUAUUAAAAUAUAUUGUGUAUUAUUUUAUAAUGAUAAGUAAAACGGGUUAUUUAAUUGACACGAAGUUGUUAGAAAAGGUAUGGGAAUUUGAAAGAUCAGAUAACAUAAAGAGAAUAUCCGAAUUUAUUGAUGCUAUAAAAAUAAAGUCCACCUUACAUGCACUUAAAGAAGGAGGGGAUGUAUUUUGGAGACAGUUGUUAAUAAAAUCAAGCACAGUGCCAUCAAAUAUACAGGAAAAAAUGUUUUCCAUAUGGGUUAGUUUAGAUGAGGAAAAUAGAGGUGUUAUUGAUUCUGUAAAAAUAUUAAAAUUUUUAAAAUCUCAGGGAAUUAAUUUGAAUUCAGAAAAUGAUGUUAAAGUAAGAUAUAUUUUUUUUUAUUUUUUAUGGCAAAAAAAAAAAAAAAAAAAAAAAAAAAAAAAAAAAAAAAAAAAAAAAAUGCUAGUAUGGCACACCUUUUCAUUUUGCUACAUCUGAAUAAACAUAAUUUUUUUUUAGGAAUUCUUGGAAGUAUUUGAUAGAAAUAACAAAAAAGGUUUAAAUCAGGAAGAGUUUUUUGUUCUUAUUAUUAUAGUUAAACAAAUUCUUGUAGAACUUUUAGAUAUUAAUGCUGUUCAGGUGAAAAUAAUAUUUAUAUAUACUAAUACGGACAAAGUCAAUUUUUCAAAAACUGUGGUUAUAUAUAUAUAUAUAUAUAUAUAUUUUUUUUUUUUAAUUUAUCUUUUGUAGUCUUUAUUCGAAGAAGUGUACUGCAUACCAUGGAAUUCGAUGUCGUCAAUUGACGUUAACAGUUUAAAAAAAAUAUUAUCCGAAGUAAGAAAAAGGAAAAAUUAUAGAAGCAACAUAUUAAUUAAACUUUACAAGUUUAUUUAAAUUAUUUGUAAUCUAUAAGUUUACCUUUUUCAAUUUAUUUUGUAAUUUUGUAAUUUAAAAUUCUUUUUUCUUUUUUUUUUUUAGUUAAACUUACAUUGGCCUUAUGGAAAAAUUCGUAAUCUAAUUGAUUUUGUAUGCGAAAAUAAAAAAACAAAAUAUGUAAGUGCA